Long non-coding RNA from Homo sapiens (human), 5287 nucleotides. RefSeq lists it as uncharacterized. Lineage: Eukaryota; Metazoa; Chordata; Mammalia; Primates; Hominidae. The record is from RefSeq and is a predicted model, not a curated record. The transcript has 4 exons.
UUUUUUUUUUUUGGAAUUGGUUUCCAGUUAGGAGAUUGUCUCAAAUGAAAGCAAUACAGAUCUGAGUGGAAUUUUUAAAAAGCUGUAUUUCCAGAGACACUUUAAGUCUGGCAGAAUGGCAUGGGAUUGCUUAACAGUUGAGUACCAUUUAACUAUGUUAACAUUUAUGACUGUGCCAAUACUGGGCAAGGGUUAUUCCCCGGCAAGAGGACCUGAAGCUGUGGCACUCAGUCUGGCUACACAAAGAACUUGCUUUAUUUCAUGGGAAGUGAGUUGCCACUAAAUCUCCCAGGCAGAAUGGGCUCUGUACUUAGUACCAUUGACAACUUACACCUUGAUUCUCUCCUUCUCCUUUUCUAAAUGUAGUGGUUCCUCCAUUCCUGUUUGCUAAAUGUGUCUGUUAUUAUACAGUCUAUUUGUUACAGAGUUUUAUACAUGAAGUAUCAAGACAUUAUGGUGUCAUUAUUUUCACCUGCCACUUUAACCCCACAGCUAUUUUUACUGAGACAUUGGGAAAAUUAGAUUCAUUAGAGAUAAUCUAAGCAAAAUAAAGGUGAAAAUAAAAAAAAUUGUAUACGGUAAAACCUUUACACUUGGUGGCAAUAUUUAAAACUGUGAAAAUGGAUUCUAGGAAGAUGGGAAGAUGCCAGGGUAAGUCAACACUUAAAUAAGCCAAGUAGUACCACUGAAGCCUUGAGUUUCCUGGAGAAGAGAGCAAGUGUGAGGAUUCAUUUAUCUUGGGGAAGGGAGAAGAACAGAGGUCCCAACAGGUCUGAAGCUAAUAUAUAGCAGAUUCCUUGGCCACUGGAGACUGCCCAGCCACAUAUGCCGGUGGAGCUUCGAUCAUCCAAAGAAGAGCACGUCUGCCAAGGUCUCACACAGUCCUUCAGGAGGUUGCCUCAUGCGGCUGGUAGGCAGUCCUGGGAGGGUAGGGGUGAUGCAAUAGGUAGGACAAAAUGCUACAAGUUUUUAUAUUUUAGAAGGAACUUUGUCCCCCUUGGACCUAGAGAGUCUUAGGUCCUGGUCUUAUACCUGUCCCAGUGAAGAGGUUCUGGUAUGCUAGGGUGUAAUCACUAGCUCACCAGACAAAAUUGCCAUUGCACCCACAAACCUCCAGUUUACCAGUGCUCAAGAAAACCUCAAACCUGGCCUGUUCUUGUGUGGCAAAAUCUACAUUACAAGGAAGUCAAAGAAAAAUUGCUACCUAUUUCAUGUACUCUUAAACUUGUGGGAGGGAGGUCAAGCUUGAACAGGUAGCUACUAUUAAGGAAGAGCUAAUGAAUGAGACAGAGGAGAAUGUUAGUUUCAAUGUAAUGAGUAUUCUCAAAGAGAUACAAUUAGAAAAUAAAAAUAAUAAUUACUUGAACUAACAAUAAUGAUUUUCACAGUUCUAAAAUCAAAGAGAGGAGGUAAAAAAAAAAGAGAGUAGCUACUGCUGAGACCUGAAUUAACUGUCUGGAUGACCAAAAUAAAGGGACAAAGAAGGAAAUUAGUGAUAAAAUAAGUGAUUUAGAGGAAGAUCUAGGUGACAUAACAUGCAAAGAGAAGUAGUUCCAGAUGGGGAAAACUUCAGCUUCUAUCAAAUAGAAGUCAUAAUCAUGGAAAUAACAGAAUAAAAAUUCUGUUGAAGAAAGGCUUGUGCCUUUUGACUGAAUGGGCUCACUAAGACUCAGACAGGAUUAAUUUUACAAAAAGCCACACACCUAGACAUAAUCAGGGAAAAUGUCUGACCUCCAAUGCUAAUGAAAAAAAUUCUUUCUUCUACUCAGAACAAAAAAUAGUUUUCUUACAAAAGAAAGAUUAUGCGACUAUGUUAUUAAAAGAAAAUGACUGUCGCCCAAGAAUCUUUAUACCAGCCAAUCAAUAUAAUAAUCAAAUGUUAAGAAAAAAGGCACAAUGGUUUUCAACAAUCAAGAAUUCAGAAAAUAUGCCACCCAUGUACUGAUAUCUUAUCUGAAGAAAAUACUCAAGGAAGUACUCCCAAUCUCAUAAAAUUUCUACCAGAAGCAAAUCUCUUCUUUACAAGAAGAGCAAAGCACAAUGCAGUGUUAAUACAGUGAAUAAACAGUGUUAACUUGUUUUAGUUUAUGUGAUGAUAAUUCUAUAACUAAGACAGAAUAGAAAUUAUAAGACAGUGUUCUUAAAAUUUAUGUUUGUGUGUGUGUUUAAUUAAAACCCGUAACAAAGAGCUUUCAGCUACUCAGAAAAAUCCAAAAAUUGUGGAGAAAAGAAGGAAGAGGAAGUAAGGUAGAAAGGAGUUUAAAAGUCUCUAAAAAGGUACAGGGAGUAGAGAUUCAGGAGUAAAAUGGGCAAGUAGGCUGUCUUAGUGUGAUCAUUGUCAUUACUGAACUGGAUAUACUAAGCGAGAAAUAUUGUUUCACAUAUUAUUGUGAAUAGCAGAAGAAUGCAAUUUCCAAAUUAAGAGACUUUUAAAAAAGGAAAAACACCCAACAAAGUAAAUAAACAGUAAACACAAAAUAUUAUAAUAAUAAGUAAAUAGGUCAUUUACCACUAUAUAUGUUAAUGGAAUGAAUUAUGAAAAUAGAGAAAAGAAAAAAAGAAUGCAGGAAUGGAAAUAUUAAUGUUAAGAAAACAAUGAAAACUCAGGUCAAAAGCACUAAUAAAGAUAAUUAGUGAUAUAAUGAUUACAGGAAUAAUUCUCAAAGCUAUAUGCAUAAACUAUAUAUCAAACAAGAAAAGACAUAUAGGGAAAAAGUGGGAAAUGAUAUAAAAACACAACGAUGGCCAGGCAUGGUGGCUCUGCACUUUGGGAGGCCAAGGUAGGAGGGCCACUUUAGCCCAGGAGUUCAAGACCAGCCUGGGCAACAUAGGGAGACUCUGUCUCCACAAAAAAAGUAAGAAUAAAUUAGCUAGGUGUUGUGAUGUGUGCCUGUGGUCCCAGCUACUUUCGGGAGGCUGAGGUGGGAGGAUCCCUUCAGCCCAGGAAGUUGAGGCUGCAGUGAGCUGUGAGCACGCCACUGCACUCCAGCUUGAGCAACAGAGUGAGACCCUAUCUCAAAAAAUAAAAGAAAAUAAAAACACAACAAUGGGAAAUUUUAAUAGGUAUCUGUUAGAUUUUGACUGAUCAGUCAGAUUGAAAACAGUAAAUACGUAGAUAAGUUGAGUGAUACAAUUAACUUGCUUGAUUUAAUAGAUAAUUGUGAAAUUAUGUAGCAACAUACAUAGCACAUGUAUUUUUCUCAUAUACUCAUGUGAAUUACUUGACAUACAGUUGGCCACAAGAAUACCUUGGCAAUUUCCCCCAAAAUAGCUGUUUUAUACAUUGGGUUCUUUGACUAGAAUUUAAUAAAUCUAAAUCUAAACCAACAGAUGACCUACCUCACCCCUUUAUCAACUGCUUAUAUUUGCAGGAAAGUGACAGUAAAGGCUAGUUACCAAGAGAAAUUGAAGGAGGAGUACCAUGACAUUAGGUCCUUGUCUCUGGUCUUCCCCCAUGUCAGGAGUACUGCCAUUCCUAUGGUUUGGCUCUGAGUCAACAAUUUCUCUUACUGGGCUUAGGCUAGUUUGCCUUCCUUUCUGUUUCAUAGCAAAAGGAGCUGAUUAACACAGGGUUCUCUCUUUUUCUCUCCCUCUGUCUCUGUCUCUCACUACAUAUACAUGCGGACAUGUAUAUUGAAUUCAUACAAAUACCUUCAAUUACAUCAAGUUGAAUUGCAAAGCCCCUAAUUUACUGCAGAUAUGCUUAGAUUGAUAUUUCUAUGCACAAGACUUGACAAGUAAAAUUUUUUCUCAUGAAUCCUUCUCUCUCCUAAAGUAAUAUAAUUUAAGGAACAGAUCUCCUGAACACAGGAUAUACAUAGGAACCCAUGGAAUUUUCAUCUCUCUAAGUUCUUUUACUGAACAGAGACCACACCAUUAAAGAGGAACAUUUUGAGUUCUCUAGGUUAGCAUAUUAAAAAGGUGAAAUUUACAUUAAAAACUUUUUAGUUUUACCUUACCAAAUUAAGGAUCCUUAUUUCCUUUAUGUCAAAGCAGAUAAUCACGAAGACCUGACAUCUAUGGGGGUCUGAUCCAAGCAGGGCUGUGGUCAUUGCUCCCUGGACACUGCAUUGCAUAUGAGAUAGAGGGUCUGCUAAGCCAGCUGCUGAAGGAAGACUUUAUUUCCCAGGGGAAAUUCUAGCACAUCUGGGGCACUGUGGUCCUCACACUUGGUUUGGAUUCUCUUCCUGAUGACGGACGUCUGCUUUCUGGCAAGGAUGAAGACGCCAAGGCAAUGACACCUGACAGUCAUAUAGCUGAUAAGGAACAGCGCCAGGACCCAGAGCCAGGCAGUGUGACUGAGCAAGAGUCUGUGCUUUUAACGACUAGGUUUUGCUAGCCCAAAGCACAUACUUGAUACACACUAUAAACACCAUGAAAGCUGGAGCUGCUCUGCAUUAGUCAUCAUCUAUCUACAGUAACUAGCAUGGUAUUUGGCACGUAUCAAAGACUGAAAGAAUAAAUGAAUGAGGUCACCAGAGGUUUAGGAGCAAGGGGUUGCAUUAUCAGCUAACCCUUUUAAGAAGAUUAAGUAGAAAUGGAUACCAUAAGUUAGAGAAGUGAAAAAUAAACAAUUGAAAACUGCUGGCGAUUAUAUGAGUAAGAGUGAAGAGUGAUUAGGGCUGAUGAAGGUAUCUGUCUUGGUGAUGAAAAAAUAAUCAGAUAUUAAAAUACACAGGACUAGUCAACUAGAGAAGCAAUUAAAAAGAAGGAAGCAAAAGAUCUGAGACUCUGAAUCAAAGCCACUGAGAAAUUCGCAGACCAUUAGUCACAAAAAGGUUGAACAACGUUCCGAAAUAUGGAAGCCAGAAGAAACAGCAAUUUUGAAUAGAUUCCUUAGAGAGAGGAACAAAGAGAAGAAAGUAAAAGUAGAUGAUGGAUAGAGAAGGAAAAUUAAGCAUGCCAAAUUAUUGUUCAUUGAGUUUAGGAUUCAAUUUUUUUCGUCUAGUGAAACUACAGCUUUUCAGAAUUGGGGAGAAAAAUGUAAGAAUGCUUGUUCCAUGGCCUUUUCCCUAGGGGCUAAAAAAGUGAGAAGUCAUACUCCAAGCUUCAUUUGCAAGUAUAAAAGGGGCACCAUGUAAUUACACAGCUUCAGUUAGAGAUGCUUUCCGCCCUUUCCAAGUGAUCUAAGAGCUCAGGGAUGCUAUGCCCUAUUCUCCAGUUAGAAAAAAGAUCAGGGAGAACUAUCAAAGAGGGCACCAGAUCUUCCAGGACUAGACCUAAUACCUCUUGGUGUAGGCAUUCCUUGCAAAAAAAAAAAAAAAAAAAAAAAAAAAAAAAAAAAAAA